UGGGGAAUAUUGGGCAAUGGGCGAAAGCCUGACCCAGCAACGCCGCGUGAAGUAUGAAGGCCUUCGGGUUGUAAACUUCUUUGAUCAGGGAAGAAACAAAUGACGGUACCUGAAAAACAAGCCACGGCUAACUACGUGCAAGCAGCCGCGGUAAUACGUAGGUGGCGAGCGUUAUCCGGUUUUACUGGGUGUAAAGGGCGUGCAGGCGGGCUGAUAAGUCAGAUGUGAAAUCCCCGAGCUUAACUCGGGAACUGCAUCUGAUACUGUUGGUCUUGAGUGCUGGAGAGGAUAGUGGAAUUCCUAGUGUAGCGGUAAAAUGCGCAGAUAUUCGGAGGAACACCAGUGGCGAAGGCGGCUAUCUGGACAGUAACUGACGCUGAGGCGCGAAAGCGUGGGUAGCAAACAGG
RNAcentral lists this ribosomal RNA (407 nucleotides) under Verrucomicrobiota bacterium. RNAcentral describes it as "Verrucomicrobia bacterium partial 16S ribosomal RNA". It matches the Rfam family "Bacterial small subunit ribosomal RNA", at positions 355 to 776 of the family's 1533-position model. The record is from RNAcentral. Lineage: Bacteria; Pseudomonadati; Verrucomicrobiota.